AUUUUCUUCACAAAUUGAUAAAAAAUAUACAAAAUUUAUCUGAACCAUAUACUACUUUUAAAUUAAUAAUCUAAUUUUUUUAAAAAAAAUUUAAUUUUAUUAUAAUUAAUUUUUUUAAUUUAUUUGAUUUGAGUCAGUUGACAAGUACAACGAUUUCAAAUUUUGAAUGUUUCGUCCGUCUUUACAGGUUUAUUAAUAUACUUCGUGUAAUUCUCGCAAUUAUAAAUUUUUUAAAGUAAAUAAUAUAUUAGCUUAAGUUUUAAAGUCAAAGUACUAUUAAAUGACUCAAAUCAAAUAAAUUAAAAGAUUUGAUAGUAGAAUUAAUAUUUUUAAGAUUAAGUAGUCGAUUCAAAAUGGUCCAUAGUUUAGAUAAGUUGUGUGCAAUUUUUAUUUAAAAAAUAUGAUGUUGUAUAUAGAUUGUUAAAUGAUUUGGUUGUAAUAUAAAAUGUAACGGUUAUGAUAUAUUUCUUCUACAUACUUCUUUGUUCUAAUUAUUCUGCUAAGUGAUUGUUUGAUUACACGUAGUUGUAACUGUCUUGAAUCAUAAUUGCAUGCGGAUUCAAAUUCAAUGUUUGAUUUGAUAUAUUUAAAUCCAACUGCUGCAGUUAGAAUUGUAUGAGGAGGCUCAACUGUAGAAGUUGGAAUUGCGAUCACAUUUGGUGCAGCUGUAAUUAUAGCACUUGAAGAUAGGGUAAGAGGCCAUUUGUUUCGGUGUAAGUGGAGAGGUGGAACUCAAGUUCCAUUACUUCCGGUAUUUAUUUUGGUGUAAGUAAAAAAUAUAGUAUAACUCAAGUUAUAUUAGACCCCCACUUCACCUACUCUCGACUUUCUCCUCUGAAGUGUCGAACUCGACUUUUGCCGCACUCAACCUUCUCCAAAAAAAUAUAUUAAAUAGUAAAAUAUAAACUCUACUUCCUUUAUAAUCACUUAGAAUUACAUUAUUUAUAAUAAAUUAGGAUUAUCUUUAAAUAAUAAUAAAAAUUUUAAUUAUUUAAUAGGUUAAAUUUUACAGGGAUAAGUUUACAACUAUAUGUAGGAGAUAAUGAGAUCCACUUACUUACAUCAAAAUAAAUAAUGGAACUAAAAAAACUAAUUUCACCAGCACCAAAUAACAUCAAAAUAUACAGAAGAAAUAAUUAAAUUAAUUUUCAGACUGUACGAGUUACAUUAAAACAAACAACGAAAAAUAAUUACACUUCAGGAAAACUCCAACACCACUGGACUUGAGUUACAUUGGAUCUACAGAUUCGUCAAUCCAAACGCCCCCUACAUCGAAACAAAAAAAAAAGCUUACUUCACUAAUCAUCUUUAAAAUAAAAAAUAUUUUAUAUCUUACCUUGUGAAUUGUCUCACCACCCUCUAUAUAUAUAUAAAAUAAUAAAAUUUAUAUACAAAUAAACAAAUUAUUUAUACCUGCAAAGCUUUAUUUUAUAUUUAACCAAACAAAAUGCAAAUAAAUAACUGUUGUAUUUUUAACCAUAGGCAUCUUCGACUAUGCUGU
This 1501-nucleotide long non-coding RNA is filed under the name Ananas comosus (pineapple). RNAcentral describes it as "long non-coding RNA (ACOM_LNC021937)". Lineage: Eukaryota; Viridiplantae; Streptophyta; Magnoliopsida; Poales; Bromeliaceae. The record is from RNAcentral.